CCUACGGGGCGCAGCAGUGGGGAAUAUUGCACAAUGGGGGAAACCCUGAUGCAGCGACGCCGCGUGAGUGAAGAAGUAUUUCGGUAUGUAAAGCUCUAUCAGCAGGGAAGCAAAUGACGGUACCUGAGUAAGAAGCCCCGGCUAACUACGUGCCAGCAGCCGCGGUAACACGUAGGGGGCAAGCGUUAUCCGGAUUUACUGGGUGUCAAGGGAGCGUAGACGGCAGCACAAGUCUGGAGUGAAAUGCCGGGGCUUAACCCCGGAACUGCUUUGGAAACUGUGCAGCUAGAGUGCAGGAGGGGUAAGUGGAAUUCCUAGUGUAGCGGUGAAAUGCGUAGAUAUUAGGAGGAACACCAGUGGCGAAGGCGGCUUACUGGACUGUAACUGACGUUGAGGCUCGAAAGCGUGGGGAGCAAACAGGAUUAGAUACCCGAGUAGUC
This 440-nucleotide ribosomal RNA is filed under the name uncultured bacterium. RNAcentral describes it as "partial 16S ribosomal RNA". It matches the Rfam family "Bacterial small subunit ribosomal RNA", at positions 338 to 795 of the family's 1533-position model. The record is from RNAcentral.